Tribolium castaneum (red flour beetle) is the source of this 1334-nucleotide long non-coding RNA. RefSeq lists it as uncharacterized. The transcript is spliced from 3 exons. NCBI's taxonomy places the organism in Eukaryota, Metazoa, Arthropoda, Insecta, Coleoptera, Tenebrionidae. The record is from RefSeq and is a predicted model, not a curated record.
CCAACCCGGAAAUGCACCCAUUCAUCGAAACUAUUUGAUUGAAAUAAUACAACAAAUAAAUUCGCUCAUGACAAAGCAUUAUAAAAUUUUUCAAGCGUCAUUGUUGGAAUACGUAACUUUCCUAAUGCAGACCAGGGGAAAAACGUAUUGUUAGAGAUCCGAUUAUAAUCGAAAUAAUUCCACUCGGAGCAUCUACUAAUAAACGUGAUAAAUAAAAAAGUGUUUACGAGAGCAAAUCGACAAAUGGGUAAUUACCCGUUGUCGGGAAAAUUGGAGUAAGCCUUUGCCAGUUCGCUUCAAGGUGUUAUAAACAAUGAAUAAAAUUUCAUAUUGGAAUUGAUUCAGUGAUUGCAUUGGAAAUAUUUUAUUACAAAUACUGUGGACAAAAUAAAUAAAAAGUUUGCUGAUAUUACAAUAGACGCAAAUCAAGCAUAAUUCUCCUAUUACAUUUUAAUUUCGUAAUUGUAAAAAAGUUUUGGAAGAGGAGAAUGAUUUUUGCGAAUCCGCGUGCAUUUGCCUAAUUUGUUGACGAGCUUGAAAAUCGAUUCGUCUGGUUGUCUAUUUGUAAAUAAUGGAGGAAUCGCAAAACGUGUGAAAAAUUGCGGGUAUUUUCUUUGCAUUAGCUUGUUUGAGAAAUGAGGGAGUCUUAAUUUAGCGUCGUGCGACUGUCGAAAAUGCUGCGAGGGCAAUUACGUUUGUUUUCGCCGUGAAAAUAGUGUGGCUAGUAUUUAAUUAGUUGGCGCUUUGUCAGCCUGUACAUUCAGAAAUAAUUUUAUGAAUUAAGUGCGUUAGAGCAUAGGCGUGCCGCACUCAUUUCUUGAGGGAAUUGCCAAGUGUGACAACCGGGGCUGAUGUUUAAUUAAAAGUUAAUGUCGGAGACGACAGAAACGGGCCGGAAGCUACGCUCUGGGGACAAUCUAUAAUUCAUCGGAUCAACAUUUUCAAAAGCACCACGACAAAAUCAGGUUCGUUUCGAUAAAAAACAACCAAAGAGAAGCAAGCGAAGAAAAAAAGACACCACGGAAGGCAUCCAAGGAUAAAUGUACCUAAUCUAACAGCGAUGUUAAGGAUUGUAAUAGAACCGCCGCUUGAUAUCUCGACACAUAAAAAGCCGUUCAAAAUAAAAACACAACCACUAGGACUUUACGUGUGUGUCAGUGUCAAGGUUUACCUGUACGCUAACUCGUUAGUUACUCUGUAUUUUUGAAAUAACAUCAUCUGACAUGUCUUCAGCCUCUAUGUCGAAAUCGACGAAACGACUGAGCAACACCGCACUCUAUAAUAACACCUUUUAAAUAGAUUUUUAAUCGCGCGAGCGCUGAAUAAAACAUGAA